AUUAGUGGCGAACGGGUGAGUAACACGUGAGUAACCUGCCCUUGACUCUGGGAUAACCUCCGGAAACGGAAGCUAAUACCGGAUACGAACUGCGAAGGCAUCUUCAGCAGUUGGAAAGAACUUCGGUCAAGGAUGGACUCGCGGCCUAUCAGGUAGUUGGUGAGGUAACGGCUCACCAAGCCUACGACGGGUAGCCGGCCUGAGAGGGUGACCGGCCACACUGGGACUGAGACACGGCCCAG
RNAcentral lists this ribosomal RNA (242 nucleotides) under uncultured bacterium. RNAcentral describes it as "partial 16S ribosomal RNA". It matches the Rfam family "Bacterial small subunit ribosomal RNA", at positions 91 to 334 of the family's 1533-position model. The record is from RNAcentral.